AUGGCAGCAUCACAUCUCCUCCUCCUCCUGCUGCUGCUGGCCCCGGUCGCGGACUCCGCGGCCACCCGCGUCUUCUCCGUCACCGACUACGGCGCGGCCGGCGACGGGUCCAGUUACGACACGGCGGCCAUCCAGGCCGCCGUCAACGCCUGCGGGGAGGCGGGGGGCGGCCGCGUGCUCCUCCCGGCGCCCGGGGACUACCUGACGGCGACCGUGCACCUCCGCUCGCGCGUGGUGCUCGAGGUGGCCCCCGGCGCGCGGCUGCUGGGCGGGACCAGGCAGCGCGACUACCCGGCCGAGCGGAGGCGGUGGUACGUCGUGCUGGCCGAGAACACCACCGGAGCGGGCGUCACCGGCGGCGGCGAGAUCAACGGCCAGGGCGGCGCCUUCGUGGUCAGGCCCAGCGACCAGAAGAACGUCAUGGUGAGCUGGAACGCCACGGGGCACUGCCGGGGCGACGAGUGCCGCCCCCGGCUCGUCGGCUUCGUCGACUCCGAGGACGUCACGGUCCACGACAUCACCCUGAACCAGCCGGCCUACUGGUGCCUGCAUCUUGUGAGGUGUGAUCACUCGGUGAUACGCAACGUCUCCAUAUACGGGGAUUUCGACACCCCUAACAACGACGGGAUCGACAUAGAGGGCUCAAACAACACGAUCAUCACCGGCUGCAGCAUAGACACCGGAGACGACGCGAUCUGCCCCAAGUCUCUCACGGGCCCUGUUCACAACUUGACUGUGACAAACUGCCGGAUCCGCACCAAAUCUAGUGCUAUCAAAUUUGGAAGUGCGAGCUCCUUCAACUUCGAGAGGCUGCUCUUUGACAACAUAACCAUAGUCGAUUCGCAUCGAGGACUUGGAAUGCAGAUCCGUGAUGGAGGGAACGUCAGUAAUGUGGUGUUUUCAAACAUCAAAAUGCGCACCAGGUACUACCAUCCUUCAUGGUGGGGGAGAGCUGAACCGAUCUACAUCACCACCUGUCCAAGGUACCCUGGUUCCAAAGAAGGCACCAUUUCAGAUGUUUUCUUCAUCAACAUCUCAUCGGUAUCGGAAAAUGGUGUUUUCCUGGCCGGGUCGAGGCACAGCCUGCUUCGCAACUUGAAGUUCAAGAACGUUGAUUUGACCUACAGGAGAUGGACAAACUACACCGGGGGCCUGUAUGACUACAGGCCCGGAUGCCAGGAGCUGGUAAAGCACAAGACUGGUGGUAUGAUGCUGGAGCAAAUCUCCGGCUUGGAGAUCGAUAAUGUCAGGAUGAGAUGGUCGAGAGGAGAGCUCAAAGGGUGGGAUGUUAAUCCACUCCUCUUCCGGCCAUCAACUAUUGACAGGCUGUCAUUCCAUGAUUGGCAGUCGCUGAAUGUUCAAUAG
RNAcentral lists this ribosomal RNA (1365 nucleotides) under Triticum aestivum (bread wheat). Its description in RNAcentral is "partial small subunit ribosomal RNA". Lineage: Eukaryota; Viridiplantae; Streptophyta; Magnoliopsida; Poales; Poaceae. The record is from RNAcentral.